This 301-nucleotide ribosomal RNA is filed under the name uncultured bacterium. Its description in RNAcentral is "partial 16S ribosomal RNA". It matches the Rfam family "Bacterial small subunit ribosomal RNA", at positions 509 to 807 of the family's 1533-position model. The record is from RNAcentral.
CAGUCGCCGCGGUAAUACGAAGGGGGCUAGCGUUGCUCGGAAUGACUGGGCGUAAAGGGCGCGUAGGCGGCGAUCAAAGUCAGGCGUGAAAUUCCUGGGCUCAACCUGGGGGCUGCGUUUGAUACUUGGUUGCUUGAGUGGGGAAGAGGGUCGUGGAAUUCCCAGUGUAGAGGUGAAAUUCGUAGAUAUUGGGAAGAACACCGGUGGCGAAGGCGGCGACCUGGUCCUUUACUGACGCUGAGGCGCGAAAGCGUGGGGAGCAAACAGGAUUAGAUACCCGAGUAGUCCCUGUCUCUUAUAC